GGGUAUUAUGCAUCGAGAGGUGGUGUUAUCUGCUUUAGUGUUCUUGAUUAAUAAUUCAGGAUAGAAAAUAAUUGAUGAGAAGUGUGUUAACUUAAAUGAAGCAAUAAGUGAAGUUAUGAUCUUAAAUAUCCGUAAUCUUAAUUUAACUAGUGGUAAUUAGAAUUAGUUUACUUAUAAAUUGAAAUUCAUUCAUUUAAAUAAGAUUGAGUUGGUUACGAGUUAGUACUUGGUAAUUUUUAUUAAACAAUUCCUCGUGAGAAUGAUACUCUACUUACACUUUAUUACUUGUUGACCGCGUAUACUUGCGUGUUCUGCGUAACUAGAUUUUCUCCAAUAAUUUUUUGGCACCGUUGCCGGGGAAUUAGUUUAAUAUAUAUUUUGCCAAUAUUAGCUUCAAUCAAAUUAGUCUUAAUUUAAACAUUUUCUUUCUUUCUUUUUAUUUAAUUCUCUUCCUAUUUUUCUCUCUUUUCAGGUACCAUGGCUGGAUGCAAUUAUCAAUGGCCAUAUACGAGUAAGACUCAACCAAGGAACACAAUAAUUGAUGGACUUAAUGCAUUUUUUGCAUUGUCAGCACAAAUUGAAACACUUUCGAAGAGGUUGGAUGUUCUUGCAGCCCAACGUAUUCGAAAGAUCGCAGUAGUUUGUAAUUAUUGUGCUGACAAUCAUCCGAGUCAUCAAUGAAUCGUCAGACUUGUACCAGUACAAUAUGGGGGUGACUACCUCAACGAUUAUGCAUAUGCCAAUUAAAACCAAGAUUGGGGGUAGCACCCGGAUUCGUCAUGGAGCUACAAUUAUGAAGACCAAUACUACGCUCCAAAUCUAUCAUACACACCGGAAUUUUCAUGUCCACCUCCAUUGCCACAAGAUGAAAAGCCAAAUCCGAGGGAUUUAAUAUUGAAGGGCAUAGCAAACCUAGAGGAGAUGAGGAUUAGCCAAGAGCUGUCAACCGAAAAUUUCAAUAAUCGGAUGGAACAACUUGUCACUACCUCAACUAAUGGUUCUUAGUACAUGGCUUCCGAGAUUGAGACGGAUAAUUCAGGGUUGGAGGAACUGUUGUCCAAGUUCGUAGCAUCAAAUGAGGAGAGGAGGAUUUGUAACGAUUGAGAAAUUUAUAAUUUAAUUUAAAUAUUUAUGGAAUUAAAUAAAUAUUUUAAAUAAUUUAUUUAUUGAGAAAAUAAAUAAUUGAUGGAUUAUAAUGAAUUAAAUUA
RNAcentral lists this long non-coding RNA (1208 nucleotides) under Panax ginseng (ginseng). RNAcentral's name for it is "long non-coding RNA (PGIN_LNC016215)". The record is from RNAcentral. Lineage: Eukaryota; Viridiplantae; Streptophyta; Magnoliopsida; Apiales; Araliaceae.